GCGCUCGCUUUGGCAGCACAUAUACUAAAAUUGAAACGAUACAGAGAAGAUUAGC
Molecule: small RNA, 55 nt
Filed under: Podarcis muralis (Common wall lizard)
Lineage: Eukaryota; Metazoa; Chordata; Lepidosauria; Squamata; Lacertidae
Also listed under: 1 other name
Source: RNAcentral